RNAcentral lists this ribosomal RNA (406 nucleotides) under uncultured bacterium. RNAcentral describes it as "partial 16S ribosomal RNA". It matches the Rfam family "Bacterial small subunit ribosomal RNA", at positions 30 to 526 of the family's 1533-position model. The record is from RNAcentral.
AUUGAACGCUGGCGGCAGGCCUAACACAUGCAAGUCGAACGAGUGGCGGACGGGUGAGUAAUGUCUGGGAAACUGCCUGAUGGAGGGGGAUAACUACUGGAAACGGUAGCUAAUACCGCAUACCAUCGGAUGUGCCCAGAUGGGAUUAGCUAGUAGGUGGGGUAAAGGCUCACCUAGGCGACGAUCCCUAGCUGGGCUGAGAGGAUGACCAGCCAGACUGGAACUGAGACACGGUCCAGACUCCUACGGGAGGCAGAAGUGGGGAAUAUUGCACAAUGGUCGGAAGCCUGAUGCAGCCAGGCCGCGGGUAUGAGUAAGGCCUUCGGGUUGUAAAGUACUUUCAGCGGGGAGGCGUUACCCGCAGAAGAAGCACCGGCUAACUCCGUGCCAGAAGCCGCGGUAAUAC